Long non-coding RNA from Neofelis nebulosa (Clouded leopard), 638 nucleotides. RefSeq lists it as uncharacterized. NCBI's taxonomy places the organism in Eukaryota, Metazoa, Chordata, Mammalia, Carnivora, Felidae. The record is from RefSeq and is a predicted model, not a curated record. The transcript is spliced from 3 exons.
CCUCGGCCGCUACGUACAGGUGUUGAGGCCCUUGCGGCAAAAGCCUGCCUGGGCCGAGGCGUCUGCGAGCCAGCGAGGCAGGGGCAGGGGCGUGCCCCGUACGAAUCAGCAAGGACCGUUACUCGCACCGGGUUCCCAUCAUCGAUCGUCGUCAUGCUUCGGCGCUGUGUUCGGCACUUGCCAUGUGUCGUGUCCGUUCUUCCGACGGCCCGUGACGUCUCCCCACCAAACGCCGGAGGCCAGAGAGGCUGACGCGCUCCGAGCCGCGCAGUGAGUCCAGGAGCCCGCAUCUGAAGCCGGGACCACCCGAUCUACAUUCCAGGGCUUUAAGCCAGGACCCUGAGCUGCCCCUCACCGGUGCUGCCCCCCUCAAGUGUCCCUCCCCAGCCCUGCGGUGCGGGGGCAGGGGGCACGCUGUGUUAACAGACGAGGUGGUACAGGCACGUGAGUAACAAAAACUCUCACGACGACUCGUGUUCGGGAACGCACGCUGGGCGGGUCCAAAUGGAGUCCACAGCUUCGAGUAACACAGGUCCUCGGAGCCAGACAGCAGUGGAUCCGAAUCCUCUUGACUUAAGUUAUGAGCUUGGGCAGGUCAUUUUCUCUUUCUGAAACCUUCAUAAAAUCUGUAAAAUGGA